This 26-nucleotide non-coding RNA is filed under the name Rattus norvegicus (Norway rat). The record is from RNAcentral. Lineage: Eukaryota; Metazoa; Chordata; Mammalia; Rodentia; Muridae.
UGCCAAAGUCAGACGAGAUGAUGGCA